CGGGCUGUGGCGCAGACUGGCAGCGCGUUCGCUUGGGGUGCGAGAGGUCGGCGGUUCAAAUCCGCCCAGCCCGACCA
RNAcentral lists this transfer RNA (77 nucleotides) under Deltaproteobacteria bacterium. RNAcentral's name for it is "tRNA-Pro". It matches the Rfam family "tRNA". Rfam says of the family: Transfer RNA (tRNA) molecules are approximately 80 nucleotides in length. Their secondary structure includes four short double-helical elements and three loops (D, anti-codon, and T loops). Further hydrogen bonds mediate the characteristic L-shaped molecular structure. tRNAs have two regions of fundamental functional importance: the anti-codon, which is responsible for specific mRNA codon recognition, and the 3' end, to which the tRNAs corresponding amino acid is attached (by aminoacyl-tRNA synthetases). tRNAs cope with the degeneracy of the genetic code in two manners: having more than one tRNA (with a specific anti-codon) for a particular amino acid; and 'wobble' base-pairing, i.e. permitting non-standard base-pairing at the 3rd anti-codon position. Lineage: Bacteria; Pseudomonadati; Myxococcota; Myxococcia. The record is from RNAcentral.